Molecule: transfer RNA, 72 nt
Filed under: Ictidomys tridecemlineatus (thirteen-lined ground squirrel)
Lineage: Eukaryota; Metazoa; Chordata; Mammalia; Rodentia; Sciuridae
Description: Spermophilus tridecemlineatus (thirteen-lined ground squirrel) tRNA
Rfam family: tRNA
About the family: Transfer RNA (tRNA) molecules are approximately 80 nucleotides in length. Their secondary structure includes four short double-helical elements and three loops (D, anti-codon, and T loops).
Source: Rfam by way of RNAcentral
UAGGGUGUAGCUCAGUGAUUAAGCAUUUGCCUAGCAUGCUGAAAGCCCUGGGUUCCAUCCCCAGCACUGCAA